GCAGAUGAGGAGAGAAGCGGGCACCAGUAGUGGGGGGAAUGGUAGGGCUCACCCGAACACCAGGAAGAUGAAACCAACCCUCGGGAGCAUUUUCCUGGGAUUCCCUGGCACGAUUCUCCGAGGCCGGCUCAGCAUGUUGGACAGGAUGACUCUGCUGGCAAGAGUGUCUUGGGCAUCUGAGAGACUCAGGCUGCCUAGCUGUAGCCCUGCCACCCCUCCUGUCAUGGCAUGCAGCCCAGGCUGUCUUUCAGAUCAUCCCUGAUUAUAAUUGAGGAGGAAAUCAGAACAGUCAAGAAUUGGGCUGACUGCCAAAUGGCAUUUCUGAAAUGAAGACCACACCUCUCAAGUGCCAACUCUGCGG
Long non-coding RNA from Heterocephalus glaber (naked mole-rat), 361 nucleotides. Lineage: Eukaryota; Metazoa; Chordata; Mammalia; Rodentia; Bathyergidae. The record is from Ensembl.